This 2887-nucleotide ribosomal RNA is filed under the name Vibrio parahaemolyticus. RNAcentral's name for it is "bacterial LSU rRNA". It matches the Rfam family "Bacterial large subunit ribosomal RNA". The record is from RNAcentral. Lineage: Bacteria; Pseudomonadati; Pseudomonadota; Gammaproteobacteria; Vibrionales; Vibrionaceae.
UUAAGUGACUAAGCGUACACGGUGGAUGCCUUGGCAGUCAGAGGCGAUGAAAGACGUAGUAACUUGCGAUAAGCCCAGAUUAGGUAGUAACAACCAUUUGAGUCUGGGAUUUCUGAAUGGGGAAACCCACUUACAUAAGUAAGUAUCAUUAACUGAAUACAUAGGUUAAUGAGGCGAACCGGGGGAACUGAAACAUCUAAGUACCCCGAGGAAAAGAAAUCAACCGAGAUUCCGAAAGUAGCGGCGAGCGAAAUUGGACUAGCCCUUAAGCUUUACACGCGUUAGACGAACGGUCUGGAAAGUCCGACGAUACAGGGUGAUAGUCCCGUAGUUGACGACGUGUGUUCAGUGAAAUCGAGUAGGGCGGGACACGUGAUAUCCUGUCUGAAUAUGGGGGGACCAUCCUCCAAGGCUAAAUACUACUGACUGACCGAUAGUGAACCAGUACCGUGAGGGAAAGGCGAAAAGAACCCCUGUGAGGGGAGUGAAAUAGAACCUGAAACCGUGUACGUACAAGCAGUAGGAGCAGGCUUUGUCCUGUGACUGCGUACCUUUUGUAUAAUGGGUCAGCGACUUAUAUUCAGUGGCAAGGUUAACCAUCUAGGGGAGCCGUAGGGAAACCGAGUCUUAACUGGGCGUUCAGUCUCUGGAUAUAGACCCGAAACCAGGUGAUCUAGCCAUGGGCAGGUUGAAGGUUGAGUAACAUCAACUGGAGGACCGAACCGACUAAUGUUGAAAAAUUAGCGGAUGACUUGUGGCUAGGGGUGAAAGGCCAAUCAAACCUGGAGAUAGCUGGUUCUCCCCGAAAGCUAUUUAGGUAGCGCCUCGGACGAAUACUACUGGGGGUAGAGCACUGUUAAGGCUAGGGGGUCAUCCCGACUUACCAACCCUUUGCAAACUCCGAAUACCAGUAAGUACUAUCCGGGAGACACACGGCGGGUGCUAACGUCCGUCGUGGAGAGGGAAACAACCCAGACCGCCAGCUAAGGUCCCAAAUUACUACUAAGUGGGAAACGAUGUGGGAAGGCUCAGACAGCCAGGAUGUUGGCUUAGAAGCAGCCAUCAUUUAAAGAAAGCGUAAUAGCUCACUGGUCGAGUCGGCCUGCGCGGAAGAUGUAACGGGGCUAAGUAGUAAACCGAAGCUGCGGCAAUGUGCUUUUGCACAUUGGGUAGGGGAGCGUUCUGUAAGCGGUUGAAGGUGUGUGGUAACGCAUGCUGGACGUAUCAGAAGUGCGAAUGCUGACAUGAGUAACGAUAAAGGGGGUGAAAAACCUCCUCGCCGGAAGACCAAGGGUUCCUGUCCAACGUUAAUCGGGGCAGGGUAAGUCGACCCCUAAGGCGAGGCCGAAAGGCGUAGUCGAUGGGAAACGGGUUAAUAUUCCCGUACUUCUUACAAUUGCGAUGGGGGGACGGAGAAGGCUAGGUGGGCCUGGCGACGGUUGUCCAGGUUCAAGUGCGUAGGCUUAAGAGUUAGGUAAAUCCGGCUCUUUUUAAGGCUGAGACACGACGUCGAGCACCUACGGGUGUGAAGUCAUUGAUGCCAUGCUUCCAGGAAAAGCCUCUAAGCUUCAGAUUGUAAGGAAUCGUACCCCAAACCGACACAGGUGGUCGGGUAGAGAAUACCAAGGCGCUUGAGAGAACUCGGGUGAAGGAACUAGGCAAAAUGGUACCGUAACUUCGGGAGAAGGUACGCUCUCGACGGUGAAGUCCCUCGCGGAUGGAGCUAUUGAGAGUCGCAGAUACCAGGUGGCUGCAACUGUUUAUUAAAAACACAGCACUGUGCAAAAUCGUAAGAUGACGUAUACGGUGUGACGCCUGCCCGGUGCCGGAAGGUUAAUUGAUGGGGUUAGACUUCGGUCGAAGCUCUUGAUCGAAGCCCCGGUAAACGGCGGCCGUAACUAUAACGGUCCUAAGGUAGCGAAAUUCCUUGUCGGGUAAGUUCCGACCUGCACGAAUGGCGUAAUGAUGGCCACGCUGUCUCCACCCGAGACUCAGUGAAAUUGAAAUCGCUGUGAAGAUGCAGUGUACCCGCGGCUAGACGGAAAGACCCCGUGAACCUUUACUACAGCUUGGCACUGAACAUUGACCCUACAUGUGUAGGAUAGGUGGGAGGCUUUGAAGCACGUACGCCAGUAUGUGUGGAGCCGUCCUUGAAAUACCACCCUUGUAGUGUUGAUGUUCUAACGUCGACCCCUUAUCGGGGUUGCGGACAGUGCCUGGUGGGUAGUUUGACUGGGGCGGUCUCCUCCCAAAGAGUAACGGAGGAGCACGAAGGUGGGCUAAUCACGGUUGGACAUCGUGAGGUUAGUGCAAUGGCAUAAGCCCGCUUGACUGCGAGAAUGACAAUUCGAGCAGGUGCGAAAGCAGGUCAUAGUGAUCCGGUGGUUCUGAAUGGAAGGGCCAUCGCUCAACGGAUAAAAGGUACUCCGGGGAUAACAGGCUGAUACCGCCCAAGAGUUCAUAUCGACGGCGGUGUUUGGCACCUCGAUGUCGGCUCAUCACAUCCUGGGGCUGAAGUCGGUCCCAAGGGUAUGGCUGUUCGCCAUUUAAAGUGGUACGCGAGCUGGGUUUAGAACGUCGUGAGACAGUUCGGUCCCUAUCUGCCGUGGGCGUUGGAAGAUUGAAGGGGGCUGCUCCUAGUACGAGAGGACCGGAGUGGACGAACCUCUGGUGUUCGGGUUGUGUCGCCAGACGCAUUGCCCGGUAGCUAAGUUCGGAAUCGAUAACCGCUGAAAGCAUCUAAGCGGGAAGCGAGCCCUGAGAUGAGUCUUCCCUGAUACUUUAAGUAUCCUAAAGGGUUGUCGGAGACUACGACGUUGAUAGGUCAGGUGUGUAAGUGCUGUGAGGCAUUGAGCUAACUGAUACUAAUUGCCCGUGAGGCUUAACC